RNAcentral lists this transfer RNA (74 nucleotides) under Flavobacteriia bacterium 40-80. RNAcentral describes it as "tRNA-Thr". It matches the Rfam family "tRNA". From Rfam's summary of the family: Transfer RNA (tRNA) molecules are approximately 80 nucleotides in length. Their secondary structure includes four short double-helical elements and three loops (D, anti-codon, and T loops). Lineage: Bacteria; Pseudomonadati; Bacteroidota; Flavobacteriia. The record is from RNAcentral. RNAcentral also lists the same sequence under 2 other names.
GCCUCUUUAGCUCAGCUGGCUAGAGCAGCUGAUUUGUAAUCAGCAGGUCGUUGGUUCGAGUCCGACAAGAGGCU